UUCAGAUGAAUUCAACCUGAAGUACGAAUGGCUUCACCACAACAUGAAACCAGCUGCUGAAUACCAUGUUAGUCCACCUGCCCCCAGAGCUGCUCUGAUUGGUCAAGGUCUGGAGUCCACAGACCUCUGAAGGCGUUCUGUGGUUUCAGGCUCCAAGACCUUCACAGCAGAACCUUUAAGUUCUGGAAGUUUCUGUAAUUCUGAGGCCGAGUCGACACCUUGAACUCUUGGUCAUGUUCCUCUAACCACGACAGGAAGCGUCGUCCUGCUGAAGGAGUCCAUCAGGGAACGAAGCUGCCAUGAAGGUGGACGUGGUCUGCAGGAAUGUUCAGGUGUCCACGUGAAGGCAGGACUCCAGGUUUCCCAGCAGAACAUCAUCCAGAACGUCACCUUCUUCCGUCCUGCUGCUUCUCUCCUCCAGGUUUUUUACUGUGAGAGGCAAAUACACAUGUUGUGAUUGGUGAGGAUGUCGUCUGCACCCCCUGAAACCUGAAUGAUGAAUAUUUGCACCAAAAUCAGUGAAGAUCGGAGAACAUAUGGAGAAUAACAAGUGAAGAACGCAGUUGUUUCAAUCUCAGUGGCCUGAUGUGCACAUUUAAACUAAACCUGACUGAAAUAAAGUCUUGCAC
This is a long non-coding RNA of Stegastes partitus (bicolor damselfish), 629 nucleotides long. RefSeq lists it as uncharacterized. The record is from RefSeq and is a predicted model, not a curated record. The transcript is spliced from 2 exons. Lineage: Eukaryota; Metazoa; Chordata; Actinopteri; Pomacentridae.